AGUGAACGCUGGCGGUAGGCCUAACACACGCAAGUCGAACGGCAGCACAGUAAGAGCUUGCUCUUACGGGUGGCGAGUGGCGGACGGGUGAGGAAUACAUCGGAAUCUACUUUUUCGUGGGGGAUAACGUAGGGAAACUUACGCUAAUACCGCAUACGACCUACGGGUGAAAGCAGGGGAUCUUCGGACCUUGCGCGAUUGAAUGAGCCGAUGUCGGAUUAGCUAGUUGGCGGGGUAAAGGCCCACCAAGGCGACGAUCCGUAGCUGGUCUGAGAGGAUGAUCAGCCACACUGGAACUGAGACACGGUCCAGACUCCUACGGGAGGCAGCAGUGGGGAAUAUUGGACAAUGGGCGCAAGCCUGAUCCAGCCAUACCGCGUGGGUGAAGAAGGCCUUCGGGCUGUAAAGCCCUUUUGUUGGGAAAGAAAAGCAGCAGGUUAAUACCCCGCUGUUCUGACGGUACCCAAAGAAUAAGCACCGGCUAACUUCGUG
Molecule: ribosomal RNA, 492 nt
Filed under: uncultured bacterium
Lineage: Bacteria
Description: partial 16S ribosomal RNA
Rfam family: Bacterial small subunit ribosomal RNA
Source: RNAcentral